RNAcentral lists this long non-coding RNA (683 nucleotides) under Nicotiana benthamiana. RNAcentral's name for it is "long non-coding RNA (NBEN_LNC002642)". The record is from RNAcentral. Lineage: Eukaryota; Viridiplantae; Streptophyta; Magnoliopsida; Solanales; Solanaceae.
AGGGAAGCCUAAAAGUACGAGAAGAGGUGAUUAGGCAGGACAUGACGCUAAUUCAGCUUACCGAGUACAUGACCCUCGUUAGUAAGGUGGGAGGCCUGCUUCCUAGAUAUCUUAGGGAUACCAUGUAUAUGAACAUUUCUAUAUUAGUAAACGCAUAAAUAACUCCAGCAAACUAUUGAUAUAACAUUUGAAAAAUAACAAAACACUAUCGGAAUGAUCUCUAAACACCCGUUCGGACAGCCAAAUAUGAAUAUAAAUCCCACACAUUAUUACAGAGCACAAAAAAAAAUCACCACAAUUCUUGCUAAAUUUGACUAUAAAAUCCCACAAAUUAUUACAACAGGACAUUGAAAAUUUGAUCUCUGGGAAAUUUUGAGCAAAAAAUCACCACAUGUCUUGGUAGAGAACUGACAUGAAAAACCAAUAAGAGAACACAAGCAUAUAGCAGGCAUAAAUACAUCUUCCUCUAUAUCUUCAUCUGUGCAUGUUUCUUGAAUCUUUCUCCUCUUCUUACAAGGCCGUGCUUUCUGAAGCUACUCUGCUAAAGAAAAAUCUUCAAGAUGACUCGAGAGUAAAUGUAAAGUGAAAACAGCGAGAAAUUAAAUUUAUAUAUAUGUGUGGCUCUUUCUUCCAUUAUAUUGUAGAACUGAAAAGUACACAAUGCACAUCAAAACAUUCGGUCU